UGUGAUUUGGAAACUACUGGGAACAGCUGCUCUGUAAACGUACUGCAGGAGUCCAUCUAUUCAGGAAUUACGUGACGUCUGACUGAACGUUUGAGCUUUGUAAUGGGGUUGAAGGCGUCGAAAUCGGAGAAUGAUCUACAGAAAGAGAAGAAAUCGGGUUUUUUCAGCGAGAAAAAAUCGAAUGAGGAGAUCGCAGCUGAUGUUGAGAAGAAAUCAACUGAGUUGAUCGCAACUGAUGUUGAGGAGACAUCAACUGAUG
Molecule: long non-coding RNA, 259 nt
Organism: Corticium candelabrum
Lineage: Eukaryota; Metazoa; Porifera; Homoscleromorpha; Homosclerophorida; Plakinidae
Exons: 3
Source: RefSeq, a predicted model, not a curated record